GACCGCGUAGCUCAGUUGGAAGAGCAUUGGUCUGGUAUUCCAAAGGUCGUAGGUUCGAAUCCCACCGUGGCCG
This is a non-coding RNA of Paramuricea clavata, 73 nucleotides long. The record is from the annotation of a GenBank genome assembly. NCBI's taxonomy places the organism in Eukaryota, Metazoa, Cnidaria, Anthozoa, Malacalcyonacea, Plexauridae.